CCCUUUAGUAUCUUUUUCCUCAUCUUUUUAAAGUCAUUGCUCACAAGUUGGUUUUAUGAAAUGUAUGAUGCUUAGCUUAUGCAAAUAUGCAUGAAAAACAGAAAUGUGCGGAAUGUUUGAUUGCAGUUUUGUUAUGUAGGAGGAUCAUUUUCGUUUGAUUUGAUGGUCAAUAAUUAACUUAGGCAGUUGACUCAUAUCGUCAAUGGAAGUCAAGCCACUGCACGAGUGCGGGAGGUCUUGAAUUUGAACUUAGCCCGUUUCAAAUCAAAGAUAGAUGCCUUUCUGCCAAGACACCAAUUUUUAAGACUUACAGUAGAGAUCAGUCGGUCCGGAGUCAGAAUCAAGUGUCCAGGUUGGCUGACAUGUCUUCCUGCGGUAUAAUACAAGAUGAGUUCACACUCAUUUUUUCGUCUUAAAUAUGAAUAUGCAACGACCACUUUUAUAUAUGACCCUACAUCCUGUUAGUACUAAGAUUUAAGCUAUGCACAAAAUUAUGAUCUUCUCAACUGCAUUGUGGAAUAAAA
RNAcentral lists this long non-coding RNA (524 nucleotides) under Mytilus galloprovincialis (Mediterranean mussel). Lineage: Eukaryota; Metazoa; Mollusca; Bivalvia; Mytilida; Mytilidae. The record is from RNAcentral.